RNAcentral lists this small nuclear RNA (178 nucleotides) under Dipodomys ordii (Ord's kangaroo rat). RNAcentral's name for it is "U2 spliceosomal RNA". It matches the Rfam family "U2 spliceosomal RNA". From Rfam's summary of the family: U2 is a small nuclear RNA (snRNA) component of the spliceosome (involved in pre-mRNA splicing). Complementary binding between U2 snRNA (in an area lying towards the 5' end but 3' to hairpin I) and the branchpoint sequence (BPS) of the intron results the bulging out of an unpaired adenosine, on the BPS, which initiates a nucleophilic attack at the intronic 5' splice site, thus starting the first of two transesterification reactions that mediate splicing. The record is from Rfam by way of RNAcentral. Lineage: Eukaryota; Metazoa; Chordata; Mammalia; Rodentia; Heteromyidae.
AUCGGUUCUCGGCCUUUUAGCUAAGAUUGAGUGUAGUCUGUUCCUGUCGUUGAACAUCUGAUUUAUUCUCUCUCAGGUCAGAACGGUAGAAUAACUGGAAUUUUGGAGCAGGGAGAUAGAAAAGGAGCUUGCUUCACUCACUCCACCUGGUAAUGUAGUACCUCCAGGAUCACUGCAC